RNAcentral lists this ribosomal RNA (459 nucleotides) under uncultured bacterium. RNAcentral's name for it is "partial 16S ribosomal RNA". It matches the Rfam family "Bacterial small subunit ribosomal RNA", at positions 338 to 795 of the family's 1533-position model. The record is from RNAcentral.
CCUACGGGUGGCAGCAGUGAGGAAUAUUGGUCAAUGGGCGGGAGCCUGAACCAGCCAAGCCGCGUGAAGGAAGAAGGCGCCAAGCGUCGUAAACUUCUUUUGUCGGGGAACAAAGGGCGCCACGUGUGGCGUUGUGAGUGUACCCGAAUAAAAAGCAUCGGCAAACCCCGUUCCAGCAGACGCGGUAAUACGGGGGAUGCGUGCUUUAUCCGGAUUUAUUGGGUUAAAAGGGUGCGUAGGCGGUCCGUAAAGUAAGCGGUAAAAGCGCGGGGCUCACACCCGGCGAGGCGUUGAAACUGUGGGACGAGAGAAGGCGAGAGGUACGCGGAAUGCGCGGUGUAGCGGUGAAAUGCAUAGAUAUCGCGCAGAACUCCGAUUGCGAAGGCAGCUUACCGGCGCCGAACUGACGCUGAGGCACGAAAGCGUGGGUAUCGAACAGGAUUAGAUACCCCGGUAGUC